UCCUAGCCGUAAACGAUGGACACUAGGUGUUGGGAGCAUCGACCCUCUCAGUGCUGUUCUGCUAACGCGUUAAGUGUCCCGCCUGGGGAGUACGGCCGCAGGGUUGAAACUCAAAGGAAUUGACGGGGGCCCGCACAAGCGGUGGAGCAUGCGGGUUAAUAGGAUGAUACGCCAAGAACCUUACCAGGGCUUGACAUCACUCGGACAGCCUGUGAAAGCAGGUCUCCUGGGCA
This 233-nucleotide ribosomal RNA is filed under the name uncultured bacterium. Its description in RNAcentral is "partial 16S ribosomal RNA". It matches the Rfam family "Bacterial small subunit ribosomal RNA", at positions 794 to 1022 of the family's 1533-position model. The record is from RNAcentral.